This 87-nucleotide transfer RNA is filed under the name Enterobacter hormaechei. RNAcentral's name for it is "tRNA-Glu(ttc)". The record is from RNAcentral. Lineage: Bacteria; Pseudomonadati; Pseudomonadota; Gammaproteobacteria; Enterobacterales; Enterobacteriaceae.
ACGGGUGUAGCGGGCGUAAACGCUCAGCUUUUCGGGCUGGCAGAAACGCUGGAUGUCGUUGAAGAUGCGUUCCACGCACUGCUCGUG